UCCGUUAAUUGAUUAUGACGUACUUGUACUGAUUGAGAUUUUAACACGAAGUGAGUGGCGAACGGGUGAGUAACACGUGGGUAACCUGCCCAGAAGUAGGGGAUAACACCUGGAAACAGAUGCUAAUACCGUAUAACAGAGAAAACCGCAUGGUUUUCUUUUAAAAGAUGGCUCUGCUAUCACUUCUGGAUGGACCCGCGGCGUAUUAGCUAGUUGGUGAGGUAAAGGCUCACCAAGGCAGUGAUACGUAGCCGACCUGAGAGGGUAAUCGGCCACAUUGGGACUGAGACACGGCCCAGACUCCUACGGGAGGCAGCAGUAGGGAAUCUUCCACAAUGGACGCAAGUCUGAUGGAGCAACGCCGCGUGAGUGAAGAAGGGUUUCGGCUCGUAAAGCUCUGUUGUUAAAGAAGAACGUGGGUAAGAGUAACUGUUUACCCAGUGACGGUAUUUAACCAGAAAGCCACGGCUAACUACGUGCCAGCAGCCGCGGUAAUACGUAGGUGGCAAGCGUUAUCCGGAUUUAUUGGGCGUAAAGCGAGCGCAGGCGGUCUUUUAAGUCUAAUGUGAAAGCCUUCGGCUCAACCGAAGAAGUGCAUUGGAAACUGGGAGACUUGAGUGCAGAAGAGGACAGUGGAACUCCAUUGUUAGC
RNAcentral lists this ribosomal RNA (651 nucleotides) under Pediococcus pentosaceus. Its description in RNAcentral is "bacterial SSU rRNA". It matches the Rfam family "Bacterial small subunit ribosomal RNA", at positions 62 to 679 of the family's 1533-position model. Lineage: Bacteria; Bacillati; Bacillota; Bacilli; Lactobacillales; Lactobacillaceae. The record is from RNAcentral.